This 210-nucleotide long non-coding RNA is filed under the name Elaeis guineensis (African oil palm). RNAcentral describes it as "long non-coding RNA (EGUI_LNC007501)". Lineage: Eukaryota; Viridiplantae; Streptophyta; Magnoliopsida; Arecales; Arecaceae. The record is from RNAcentral.
UGGGGUAAGGGACCAUCUCCUUUCUCAUGGGGGAUUUUUAGGCCGAUGGUGCCGACUCUGCCUCUCCCAUACUAGACUAUGCAUGGGAGGCUAAGGUGGUGCCGGCGAGGUCUUCAGUGUGGGCCUCAUUAGCAUGUUGUAUUCCUUAGACAGUAGUGACAAAGGCUUGCACUUAGCAUACAAGCGAGUUGAACUAUUUUGCAUCUACCC